AAAAAGAUAGCCCAGGCAAAAGACAUAAUGGCUGAAUAGCAAAACAGAUACUAUUGAAAAGGUCCUUUUAACAAUCAUUUUGUCGAAUGGAUCUUGCUACACAGGAUUCCUGGUUUUCAUCAGAAUUUUGACUAGUACUUGCUCACUGAGGGGUAUUUCCUGUUAUUUCUCAGUGGUCAUGCUCUGUCAAAAUACGUCCAUCUAAUUGCCUACAUUUGAACCCGGAAAUAUUUUAUUCAGAAAAUGCUAUGGAUCUUCAACCCCCUUAUGGUAUUUUAAACAGAAGUUCAUCAGAACUGAUAAAAAGUUUGUCUCUUAGACCAAACAUUUCUGAAAUAGCACAGGAUUUUCCUUAAGCGGCAGUUGCAUCUUUUCUUGGUUGCGUGAUGAAAGAAAUGCUGUUGUCUUGUUGUUAAAGUUUAUAGAUGUUUUUGUUGCCUGCUCCAGUUGCCUCAGAUGUUCUUUUACCUUUUCCCCUUCCAGCCUGUAUUACUGUAAGACCUUUAUAGAAGUUUCUCUUCUUUUACAAGCUAGUUACAUGGUUACCAUUUAGUCACCCAAGUUUUCCACCAGCUCUGUUAAUAAAGACAUUUGGCCUACAUGACACUUUGAAAACUUAGCAUGUUUUUCUCUUCCAAGCAGUCACUUUACUGUGAUUUUUUUAUUUACACUGCAUGUUAAUCUCUCUCAAGCCUGUUUACUGAAAUGUUCAUUAUUAUCAUCCUUUUCCUCCCCCUCUCAUAAAUUCUUUUUAUGCUUCCACUUUGUCAGGCAGGACUUUUUUUCCCCCUCUUCUAGGCAGCAUUAUUUUCUGCUGGAGUAUUAGUUGAAGGGCAUUAGCUUUGAUGACUUUGGUGGGGCAUUCACAAAGGCUGUCUUUAGUCUUGUGGGAAUACUGACUGUGUUUCCUGCCUGGCUAAUGGAAAAUGAUUGGGGUUUCUAGGGCAAUUCUGAAUUUCGAAGUUAGGCUUUUUUUUCUUUUCUGAAUUUCCCUCCAGAGAAAGCCACAGCUUUUGCAGAUGGUGCCAGCUGCAGCAUCCCUUCUGCUGCUCUUGCAAUGCUUUAAGUAAAGGGCAGAAGCUCCUUUCUGAUUCUUGUAGUUGCAGCAAGGCUGGAUUUAAUGGCAGCUGGUGAAGAGCUGCAUCUCCCUGCCUAUGGUGGCUGGAUAUAUCAGGAGAGGAGAAGUAAGAUGAAUGAUUGAGAAUUAUGCAGCCUUGUUAGGUUGCAGGUCCUGUUUAUGUUGGCUUAAACUGUGUACACUUGAUACAAAAUACACCAUACAAGUGUUGCAGUGCUUGAGUUGUUUCUGUUUUCAGUGACUGCUCCAAAUCAGAGAACCCAAAGAGUUUAGCUGGUAUUUUCUCAGGGUGCCCCUCAUGUAACGGGGCUGCAAAUACUUGGUGGCUGGUGUCAUUGGCUUCAUAAUAUAGUCAUCAAUUUUCAUUAUAGUUCUGAAAUCUGUCCUGCUUUGCCAUGUAGAAAACUAUUUCUGUCUUACCUGAAUUAAACAGACUUUUGAAGCUGGUAUGUGGCUAAAAUAUUGUGUGGUGCUAUUACAAACUUCUCCCUAAUGAAUUCAUUUUAACUUGGGAAAUUUUGUUCUUGUGGUAUGUCUCCAUCUUUGUUCUGGUUCUGGAAAAAGUUGAGACUUCUAUGGAGACAAAGCUACCUUUGAGACCUUGGAAGCCUUACUCCUAAGAGUCUGCUUGAUUUUAUUAGUGUGUAUGCAGAAGGCCUGGUCAAAUGUAACAGAGAAGGAGCAGUUAACUUUCUCAGCAACUGAAGGAUGUGAAGAUUUCCCAGCUGUAGAUAAACUCAGUUUCUGGAGCAGAGGGCAGUGGAAAAAGAUGAUAACAAACAAUGGAGUGAAUACACAUGAUCAACUCCUGCAGUGUUAAAUUGACCUAAAAAUAAAUGAUGCAAACUUUGA
Molecule: long non-coding RNA, 1930 nt
Organism: Pezoporus occidentalis (night parrot)
Lineage: Eukaryota; Metazoa; Chordata; Aves; Psittaciformes; Psittacidae
Exons: 2
Source: RefSeq, a predicted model, not a curated record